This 1701-nucleotide unclassified non-coding RNA is filed under the name Hevea brasiliensis (rubber tree). The record is from RNAcentral. Lineage: Eukaryota; Viridiplantae; Streptophyta; Magnoliopsida; Malpighiales; Euphorbiaceae.
AUACAUAAGAGAAUGAAGAGAGAAAGAAUGCCCUGCUAACAUCUAAACAUUACAUGGCUGGCCAGUAUUCAUAUAAACUUUUAAAACCAACCUUAAAAAUAUUGAAAAAGGCUUUAUAUUGGCUAGUACUCAUACACUAAGUUCCAAUUGCUAAUUCAGAAAAUUGAUUGAUACCCAUAUUGUCUAUAAUUUUUUUGGCUAAAUAUAGUUAGUAAAUACAAAAUUACUUAAAUAUUCAUGUCAAAAUCAUGAGUGAAGAGAGUACAUGAAAUAUAAGUAAUUGCACCAUUACUAACCAUAUAGCUACGUUAUAUUGCAGCAUUGCCCUUCUCGAAUUUUCACAUAAUUGAGCAUGCAUUUGGAUUUUCAUCGCUAAAAAUCUCAAAUGAAUCGGACGGUUGUAAUAGAUCUGAGUCCAAAUCAGUCGAUGGAGGUUCGCUCACCGUCCCCGGAUGAUGCAUGUACGCGUAUGAAUACGACGGGGGAUAGAUUGAUGCACCGUAGCUAGUACUGGGUUGAGCUGCAUUGUAAUGCACUGAAUACACCGAAGGAGGUGCAUAGUUAUGUGGUGGGUAUUGGUACACGUGGUGAUGUGGAGGGCUUUGAUUGGUUGGAUAGUGAAAGGCAGUAGGACCUUGACCAGGACCUUGACUAGGUGAUCCAGUGCCUGCUGGUGCAUCACCAUGAUGUUCACCCUCAUCAAAAUUGACGUUAUUCCCCUUAUGCCCCUUCUUUUUCUUCUUUUUACCUCCGCUGCUACCACCACCACCACUGCCACUUUUCUCAGCACCACCCUCAUUUUCGCUGACGCCUCUGUUGUCAGCCACCGGUGACUGGCUACCGGCCGGUGCGGUCGCAGGUAGUUUCACCUCAAACUUCACCUCCUUCAUUUGUCCACCGGCGGAGGCUUUAGUGGUUGUGCCGCUUUCUCCAGCUUUGCCAACGUUAAUAAUCUCUGCGUUUUUAUGGGUGCUUCCAUUUUCAGUGGCUUUAGAAGGGUCUUGAAUUUGUACUACUUGAGUUUUCACAGUUUCGUUCUCUUUCUCAACCUCUUCAUCACCGCUUUCUUGGUCACUUUGUUUCUCUUUGUCUUUUCCUUUCUUCUUUUUAUUCUUUGAUUUCCCUUUCUUUUUCUCCUUGUGGUCAGGCCAUAGCUCUGCAUGCUUCCCUGCCUUCACCAGUUUCUUGAUCAAAGUAUCUGCAUCUACAUUUCCCAGUACUGUGACCUUCUGUUGUCUUAAAUCAAUGUCUGUGGUGUAAACACCUGCAAAUAAUAGCAAGAGUAUAAAGAAAAAUAUCGUAAAAUCAACCAAGGACUUCACAAUGGCAAAGUAAGCGUGAAAUUGAAUAAAAUGAACAAAACCCAGAUUGGAAUUUAAAAAUCGAGAAACAAGCAAGAGAUUUUUAUGUAAACAGUAAAAUUAAUGGUAGCUCUGAGGAGAGUUUGUAUGUAAGAAAAACCCAGAAGGUUUUAGUAAUUACCGUCGAUGUUUGUCAGGAUCUUUUUAACUUUCCUUUUGCAGCCUUCACAAUGAACGGAGACUUUCAAGACCAAUGUCUUGCACUUGAGAGGUGAUUCUGGGUUUUCUUCCACUACUACUUCUUUAUAAACUUCUGGUUUUGGUUCAGCUUUGGCUUCAAUAUUCUUCACUUCUGCUGCCAUUGGGGGAGGAGAUGAUGGAUACAUGGAUGAGAGUGGCA